CAGUCGCCGCGGUAAUACGAAGGGUGCAAGCGUUACUCGGAAUUACUGGGCGUAAAGCGUGCGUAGGCGGCUUGGUAAGUUAGAGGUGAAAGCCUGGAGCUCAACUCCAGAAUUGCCUUUAAGACUGCCGAGCUAGCAGGUGAGAGAGGUAAGUGGAAUUCCGAGUGUAGAGGUGAAAUUCGUAGAUAUUCGGAAGAACACCAGUGGCGAAGGCGGCUUACUGGCUCAUACUGGACGCUGAGGUGCGAAAGCGUGGGGAGCAAACAGGAUUAGAUACCCCUGUAGUCCCUGUCUCUUAUAC
This 301-nucleotide ribosomal RNA is filed under the name uncultured bacterium. RNAcentral describes it as "partial 16S ribosomal RNA". It matches the Rfam family "Bacterial small subunit ribosomal RNA", at positions 509 to 807 of the family's 1533-position model. The record is from RNAcentral.